UACGUAGGGUGCGAGCGUUGUCCGGAAUUAUUGGGCGUAAAGGGCUCGUAGGCGGUUUGUCGCGUCGGGAGUGAAAACCCAGGGCUUAACCCUGGGCUGGCUUCCGAUACGGGCAGACUAGAGGUAUGCAGGGGAGAACGGAAUUCCUGGUGUAGCGGUGAAAUGCGUAGAUAUCGGGAGGAACACCGGCGGCGAAGGCGGCCCUCUGGACGGUGACUGACGCUGAGACGCGAAAGCGUGGGGAGCAAACAGG
Molecule: ribosomal RNA, 253 nt
Filed under: uncultured bacterium
Lineage: Bacteria
Description: partial 16S ribosomal RNA
Rfam family: Bacterial small subunit ribosomal RNA
Source: RNAcentral